UACGUAGGGUGCAAGCGUUGUCCGGAAUCAUUGGGCGUAAAGAGCUCGUAGGCGGUUUGUUGCGUCGGCUGUGAAAUCCCGAGGCUCAACCUCGGGUCUGCAGUCGAUACGAGCAAACUAGAGUGUUGCAGGGGAGACUGGAAUUCCUGGUGUAGCGGUGAAAUGCGUAGAGAUCAGGAAGAACACCGGUGGCGAAGGCGGAUCUCUGGGCCAUUACUGACGCUGAGGAGCGAAAGCGUGGGGAGCGAACAGG
RNAcentral lists this ribosomal RNA (253 nucleotides) under uncultured bacterium. RNAcentral's name for it is "partial 16S ribosomal RNA". It matches the Rfam family "Bacterial small subunit ribosomal RNA", at positions 524 to 776 of the family's 1533-position model. The record is from RNAcentral.